This 491-nucleotide ribosomal RNA is filed under the name uncultured Glomus. Its description in RNAcentral is "SSU rRNA". It matches the Rfam family "Eukaryotic small subunit ribosomal RNA", at positions 569 to 1066 of the family's 1831-position model. The record is from RNAcentral. Lineage: Eukaryota; Fungi; Glomeromycota; Glomeromycetes; Glomerales; Glomeraceae.
AGCAGCCGCGGUAAUUCCAGCUCCAAUAGCGUAUAUUAAAGUUGUUGCAGUUAAAAAGCUCGUAGUUGAAUUUCGAGAUCAAUUUGUUGGUCGUGCCUCGGUACGUACUGACAAUUUUGAUUUCUCCCUUCUGAAGAACCAUGAUGUCAUUAAUUUGGUGUCAUGGGGAAUCAGGACCGUUACUUUGAAAAAUUAGAGUGUUUAAAGCAGGCUCGCGCUUGAAUACAUUAGCAUGGAAUAAUGAAAUAGGACGUUUGAUUCUAUUUUGUUGGUUUCUAGGAUCGACGUAAUGAUUAAUAGGGAUAGUUGGGGGCAUUAGUAUUCAAUUGUCAGAGGUGAAAUUCUUGGAUUUAUUGAAGACUAACUACUGCGAAAGCAUUUGCCAAGGAUGUUUUCAUUAAUCAAGAACGAAAGUUAGGGGAUCGAAGACGAUCAGAUACCGUCGUAGUCUUAACCAUAGACUAUGCCGACUAGGGAUCGGAUGAUGUUAA